This 582-nucleotide ribosomal RNA is filed under the name uncultured bacterium. Its description in RNAcentral is "partial 16S ribosomal RNA". It matches the Rfam family "Bacterial small subunit ribosomal RNA", at positions 355 to 932 of the family's 1533-position model. The record is from RNAcentral.
UGGGGAAUUUUGGACAAUGGGCGAAAGCCUGAUCCAGCAAUGCCGCGUGUGUGAAGAAGGCCUUCGGGUUGUAAAGCACUUUUGUCCGGAAAGAAAUCCUUGGCUCUAAUACAGUCGGGGGAUGACGGUACCGGAAGAAUAAGCACCGGCUAACUACGUGCCAGCAGCCGCGGUAAUACGUAGGGUGCAAGCGUUAAUCGGAAUUACUGGGCGUAAAGCGUGCGCAGGCGGUUUGCUAAGACCGAUGUGAAAUCCCCGGGCUCAACCUGGGAACUGCAUUGGUGACUGGCAGGCUAGAGUAUGGCAGAGGGGGGUAGAAUUCCACGUGUAGCAGUGAAAUGCGUAGAGAUGUGGAGGAAUACCGAUGGCGAAGGCAGCCCCCUGGGCCAAUACUGACGCUCAUGCACGAAAAGCGUGGGGAGCAAAACAGGAUUAGAUACCCUGGUAGUCCACGCCCUAAAACGAUGUCAACUAGUUGUUGGGGAUUCAUUUCCUUAGUAACGUAGCUAACGCGUGAAGUUGACCGCCUGGGGAGUACGGUCGCAAGAUUAAAACUCAAAUGAAUUGACGGGGUCAUAGCUG